This 72-nucleotide transfer RNA is filed under the name Ictidomys tridecemlineatus (thirteen-lined ground squirrel). RNAcentral's name for it is "Spermophilus tridecemlineatus (thirteen-lined ground squirrel) tRNA". It matches the Rfam family "tRNA". From Rfam's summary of the family: Transfer RNA (tRNA) molecules are approximately 80 nucleotides in length. Their secondary structure includes four short double-helical elements and three loops (D, anti-codon, and T loops). Further hydrogen bonds mediate the characteristic L-shaped molecular structure. tRNAs have two regions of fundamental functional importance: the anti-codon, which is responsible for specific mRNA codon recognition, and the 3' end, to which the tRNAs corresponding amino acid is attached (by aminoacyl-tRNA synthetases). tRNAs cope with the degeneracy of the genetic code in two manners: having more than one tRNA (with a specific anti-codon) for a particular amino acid; and 'wobble' base-pairing, i.e. permitting non-standard base-pairing at the 3rd anti-codon position. The record is from Rfam by way of RNAcentral. Lineage: Eukaryota; Metazoa; Chordata; Mammalia; Rodentia; Sciuridae.
GGGGUUGUGGCUCAGUGGUAGAGCACUCACCUAGCAUGUGUGAGGCCCUGGAUUCGAUCCUCAGCAACACUU